RNAcentral lists this ribosomal RNA (253 nucleotides) under uncultured bacterium. Its description in RNAcentral is "partial 16S ribosomal RNA". It matches the Rfam family "Bacterial small subunit ribosomal RNA", at positions 524 to 776 of the family's 1533-position model. The record is from RNAcentral.
UACGUAGGGUGCAAGCGUUGUCCGGAAUUAUUGGGCGUAAAGAGCUCGUAGGCGGUCUGUCGCGUCUGGUGUGAAAACUCGGGGCUUAACUCCGGGCCUGCAUCGGGUACGGGCAGACUAGAGUGCGGUAGGGGAGACUGGAAUUCCUGGUGUAGCGGUGAAAUGCGCAGAUAUCAGGAGGAACACCGGUGGCGAAGGCGAGUCUCUGGGCAGUAACUGACGCUGAGGAGCGAAAGCGUGGGGAGCGAACAGG